Molecule: ribosomal RNA, 503 nt
Filed under: uncultured bacterium
Lineage: Bacteria
Description: bacterial SSU rRNA
Rfam family: Bacterial small subunit ribosomal RNA
Source: RNAcentral
GAUGAACGCUAGCGGCAGGCUUAACACAUGCAAGUCGAGGGGCAGCGCGAUGUAGCAAUACAUUGGCGGCGACCGGCGCACGGGUGCGUAACACGUAUGGAACUUACCCUUUACUGGGAGAUAGCCCGGAGAAAUCCGGAUUAAUAUCCCAUAAUAAACGAAGUGGCAUCACUUUGUUUUGAAAGCUCCGGCGGUAAAGGAUGGCCAUGCGCACGAUUAGCUAGUAGGUGAGGUAACGGCUCACCUAGGCUACGAUCGUUAGGGGGCCUGAGAGGGUUAUCCCCCACACUGGUACUGAGACACGGACCAGACUCCUACGGGAGGCAGCAGUGAGGAAUAUUGCGCAAUGGAGGCAACUCUGACGCAGCCAUGCCGCGUGCAGGAAGAAGGCGCUACGCGUUGUAAACUGCUUUUAACCGGGAAGAAACCCUCCGACGUGUCGGAGGUUGACGGCACCGGAGGAAUAAGCACCGGCUAACUUCGUGCCAGCAGCCGCGGUAAAG